Salmo salar (Atlantic salmon) is the source of this 3258-nucleotide non-coding RNA. The record is from RefSeq and is a predicted model, not a curated record. NCBI's taxonomy places the organism in Eukaryota, Metazoa, Chordata, Actinopteri, Salmoniformes, Salmonidae.
ACACUGAGCAGCAGGCUCCAUAAACCAGAGGAGACUGUCCUAGUAGUAUGAUUCCGGGUUAUUGAUUUAAGUGUCCUCUAAAAUAUUUCUAUUGCAUUAUGCAUGGUAAUGACAUAUCAUGUGAACAAAGAUUAUUAUGUACGAUAAUGACAUCAUGUGAACAAAGAUUAUUGAACGGGAGAGAGCGAGAGAAAGAAAGAUGGGUGUCACCAGUUUGUUCAAGUCAUCCCUCCUUGUGCACCAUUUAUGGUUGUGAGUGCCAGCACUCCCUGGCUCUUCAGAUGGAUGUCAGCGGGCGGAGCUGUGAGGGUCGUCUGUGAAACGGGCCACAAAUACACCUCUUCUCCCCACCAUACGUUAAGGAGACUCUCCACGCAGAUAUACUGUUUUCUUGGUUGUGGCCUUUUGGGGGAUUCUUUGUUUUGGCACUCACACUGUUACCUGGAUAAAGUUUAUUUAAGAAAUAUAUUUGUUGUUUAUCAUCUCCGCGCUGUCUCCCUCUUUGUUACAGGCUACAAGCCGGUUCAUGACACAUGCCUUAACCCGGGUCACGACCCCCAAGAGACCCUUAGGAACCUUAGUGUAGACAUCCCAGUUACCUGGCAACAGAUCCAGUGUUUGUGGGGGGGGGUCAAGAUAUGUGUGUGUGUCAUACCGCAUCAGAACCCAAAAUAUGAGCCUAUUUUACUCCAAUGUUUGUUUACAUAUAUUUUCUUGACAAACACUGUAUAGCCUCAAAACCUAGUUACAACUAUAAUUUCUUAUAUCAUGGAUGGUCAGUCCUUGCAUCCAUAUCUCUGUGUAUUCAUUUGAGAAUGGUUACAUUUCUCCUGCCCCAUCCCUCACUUUACACAUAAAAUGCCUGAUUGGAUUAAACUACACAAUGAAUGGACAGUUUAGGGGUGCAUUUCAAUAGUCUAAAGAGACUUCAUCACCUCGUCUCCUUUUAAUAUAUUUUAUGAUAACAUCUAACAUGUCAUCCUUCUCUAACCUCCACAACAGCAGGUCCCAGAGCAUCCAUUCCUCCCUUCUCCAGCUCUGUGAGGAUCGUACACAUCAUCUACAGAGAUUAAUGUUACUGUCAAGAGGAAAUAAAUCCUAUCGUCUCAUCUGACUUUCUUCAGAAUUCCUGCCGCUGUGGUAUGCAUCCCCAUAUCCAUGGGCGGACACAGCCGACGUCAUUUGCCAUGUAAAAUAAUCUGCACAAAAACACACUGGCAAAAAAAAAUGAAUGACUAAUUGCAGUGAUGCGACAUUGGAGAUGAGAUUAAGAUGGUUCAAUGUGGGCCCUGUGAGUGUGUGUAUAUUGAUAAAUAAGUUAGAGUAGCCAUUUCCUCUACGGAUGUCCCUGAAAGUUGAAUAUCAUAGGCCCUGGUCUCUACAUAGUGCCACAGCUAAGGAAUACGCCCCACACACACACACACACACACACACACACAGGAGAAUUCAGCCAUUGAGGAAACCCAUAGUAUCCUCAUCAAUUUGAACAAUACCAGACUAUAUCAAAAGUUGAUCGGUUAAUUAAAGCGAGGAAGGGGAACUUAAAAUGGCACAGAGAUCUCCUUCCUAAAGAAGGUUUAUGUCAAAAGGACCACGGAGCAUGUGAGUCAUCAUUGUCCAGUGGUUGACAUUCACUUAGCAGUAACUUCCCAGACAUGUUGUAGGUGUAUGGAACUAUUUUUAUUGGUAGGCCCAGAGCUGUAUGUAAACAUUGGUCUCUGGGUAAGUCUACUGUUCAACGGGUCCUAGAAUGGACCCGGAGCUUCCUGCUACGUGUCAGUGGAAUGGUUCCACUGAGGACAGAUGAGAGGAUGUGGUUGUCUUUUUCCAUUAGGCUGUCCAACUACUUGUAUUACAUUUUAGACAAAGAUAACUAGUCAAAGAAUGUAUUAACACUGAACCAGAAUCAUAUAAACACCAUUGGAGCACAAUCAGGCUAGUCUGAUGUCACAAAAGAAUGUUAGGGAAAGUAUCUACUUUUAGAUGAAGUUUGUGCCUAAUUGUCCAGAGGAGUUCCCCGAAUUUCAUGCAUGUCAAAACUCUCUCCCUGUAAACAGCCACUGCUAAACAAAACGGAGAGAGUUACAAGUGUCCUGCCCAUUAGGAACAAGACUCAGCUGCUGUCUUUGAUUCCCUUCUAGCUCCAGCCUACACAGAGCACACAGAGCACGCAGUUGAGGAACAGACACACAUCUUACAAUCACGUGCAUGUCUAUGCUCCCGUGCUUAUUUUAAAACCACGUGUUGAAUGUUUGUGUUUAAUCAAACGAGGCUGAGGAUUAAGUUUUGGCCUUUGUGAGCGACAGACAACAGCUGCAUGGUUACAAAGCUGGGUUAGUCACGAAGGAGGAUGAAGCAGAACCUCAUAUCCUCAAAGGUCAUAUCCUAUGUUAUUGUACAGGAGGGCCUCAAGUUUAGAGCCAAAGCAGGAACUAAAGUCAUGUGUUUUGAGGACUUCUUCUUGGCAUAAUAACUCUGUCUUCCUCCACUCAAAUGGAAUUAAUGCUUGUCGUUUCACAUUGUAAAUGAUGGAAUCGUUUAAACCAGUUUGGGCAUUAAAUUGAAAUGAAUUAACCAGACAGCAGAAGUCAUUCUGCCUGUGUAUGCCUCAUCUUCAUACAGUAGGCCACCUCUUUACUGCCCAUACCGCCUUACAACAAUACACAUUUAGAUGAAAGGGUUUAAUAGGUCAGGAUAGGCCUAUUAUAGCUGCAGUUUUACAUUUUGCACAAGGUGACAACAGAAACACAGGGCUAGGCUCGACUGCCUAUGCAAUGUGCCUCACAGGAAAUUCAAAAACAACAUAGUUGUUGGCAAAAGUAUCCACUUCGGUGAUGAAACUUUCUAUCACUGUAGGCAGGCUGGUCUCAGACUAGAUGUAACAUAGUAGACGAAAACCCAGGGAGAUGAAAUGAGUAUGAUAUGUUACCAUACCAAUCGUACCAUAAGACUAAAGGUUACUUGGUUGGUCAGGGUGGGCAUAUAACAACAAAAAGAUUCAAACACACAAUCUCAUCAUGGACAACUUCACAAUUUUAGGUCAUUAACAAGUACAUUUUAACUACUUAACAUGUUAGCUAACCCUUCCCCUAACAUAUUGUACAAAUUGCAAUUUGUAACAUGGACAUCCAUUAAUUAAUACAUAACAAACGUAAAAUAAAACUAGAUACACAAACGUAUACGACACCCCUUCAAAUAAGUAGAUUAGGCUAUUUCAGCCACACCCGUUGCUGACAGGUGUGUAAAAAUCAAGCAAAA